RNAcentral lists this ribosomal RNA (468 nucleotides) under uncultured bacterium. RNAcentral's name for it is "partial 16S ribosomal RNA". It matches the Rfam family "Bacterial small subunit ribosomal RNA", at positions 28 to 507 of the family's 1533-position model. The record is from RNAcentral.
GACGAACGCUGGCGGCGUGCUUAACACAUGCAAGUCGAACGGAAAGGCCCUGCUUUUGUGGGGUGCUCGAGUGGCGAACGGGUGAGUAACACGUGAGUAACCUGCCCUUUACUUUGGGAUAACUUCAGGAAACUGGGGCUAAUACCGGAUAUGAGCUCCUUCUGCAUGGUGUGGGUUGGAAAGUUUCGGCGGUUGGGGAUGGACUCGCGGCUUAUCAGCUUGUUGGUGCGGUAGUGGCUUACCAAGUCUUUGACGGGUAGCCGGCCUGAGAGGGUGACCGGCCACAUUGGGACUGAGAAACGGCCCAGACUCAUACGGGAGGCAGCAGUGGGGAAUAUUGCACAAUGGGCGGAAGCCUGAUGCAGCAACGCCGCGUGCGGGAUGACGGCCUUCGGGUUGUAAACCGCUUUCGCCUGUGACGAAGCGUGAGUGACGGUAAUGGGUAAAGAAGCACCGGCUAACUACGUG